GGUCAUUCCCGUUUAUACCUAAUUGACAUGCAUUGAUUCACAAUAUUUAUUUACCGCGUGCAUUAACAUGAUGGGUUCCUAUUAAGGACAAUGCCUAGUUUCUCUUGAUCAUACCUUGCAGCCGGGUUGUUUAAUUAAUCUUGAGGGUAGAUUAUGCUUAGCUUGCUCAACUGGGUUGGUAAAUAAACAACAUGGUUAAUUUAUUUAUUUACUCUAUGUUCCUUUAUGUUGAUUUAAUUACAAGACCAUAUAUUUUAAUCGGAACAUGGAGCGACCACCCAGGAAAACAGUACAGCCACAAGGACUAAAUGGCUCUGGUCUUGGCUAACUAAUUAGAGGACUCUAGUGUUGGACUGGUGUUAAGGGGGGCAUGACUCGCGGAACCUCGUGCACUGGAACACACUAGGGAAGUCUUUAUAAAGGCCUCGUAGCGUCCCUAUGCAAUCACACCUCGGAAGUGUGGUAUUGUGCCUACUUUUGCACAGCAUGGUUGGGUCUAAAGUUCACCUGAACUUUUACGCGACUUGUGGGUAAAGAUGUACAACCUCUGCAGAGUGUAAAACUGUUAUAACAGCCGUGCUCACGGUCAAGAGCGGCCUGGACCCUCACAUGAUUAAUUUACUUGAAGAUGAUACUACUGUGUUAUAUGUUAUGUUCAUGCUUAUGGUAUAUCAUUGUUCUAUAUUAAUUGUGGGAUGGUAUAAACUUACAUUUUCUAGUAAUUAGAUGAUGAAUAAAAUUGGACCAACUAAAAGUGCUAAUCGCAAUUAACCUUGUCAGCCUUCCACCAUAUAAAGCCUUGCAUG
Molecule: long non-coding RNA, 806 nt
Filed under: Setaria italica (foxtail millet)
Lineage: Eukaryota; Viridiplantae; Streptophyta; Magnoliopsida; Poales; Poaceae
Description: long non-coding RNA (SITA_LNC001140)
Source: RNAcentral